Acanthosepion pharaonis is the source of this 113-nucleotide non-coding RNA. Lineage: Eukaryota; Metazoa; Mollusca; Cephalopoda; Sepiida; Sepiidae. The record is from the annotation of a GenBank genome assembly.
UAUGGCCAUAUUACAUUGAAACAUUGGUUCCUGUAUGAUCAUCAAAGUUAAGCAGCAUCGAGCCUGGCCAGUACCAAGAUGGGUGACUGUUUGGGAAUACCAGAUACUGUAAG